RNAcentral lists this ribosomal RNA (719 nucleotides) under uncultured Vibrio sp. RNAcentral describes it as "bacterial SSU rRNA". It matches the Rfam family "Bacterial small subunit ribosomal RNA", at positions 56 to 749 of the family's 1533-position model. Lineage: Bacteria; Pseudomonadati; Pseudomonadota; Gammaproteobacteria; Vibrionales; Vibrionaceae. The record is from RNAcentral.
UGCAGUCGAACGAGAUCCUUGGCAAAGCUUGCUUUGCUAAGUCUAGUGGCGAACGGGUGAGUAACACGUGAGCAACCUGCCCAGAUGUGGGGGAUAAUCAGCCGAAAGGUUGUCUAAUACCCUAUGUGAUUACAAGAGACAUCUCUUGUGGAUUAAAGCGGGGGCCUUUAAGGCCUCGCACUUCUGGAUGGGCUCGCGGCCUAUCAGCUAGUUGGUGAGGUAACGGCUUACCAAGGCGACGACGGGUAGCUGGUCUGAGAGGAUGACCAGUCACACUGGAACUGAGACACGGUCCAGACUCCUACGGGAGGCAGCAGUGGGGAAUAUUGCACAAUGGGCGCAAGCCUGAUGCAGCCAUGCCGCGUGUAUGAAGAAGGCCUUCGGGUUGUAAAGUACUUUCAGUUGUGAGGAAGGGGGUAACGUUAAUAGCGUUAUCUCUUGACGUUAGCAACAGAAGAAGCACCGGCUAACUCCGUGCCAGCAGCCGCGGUAAUACGGAGGGUGCGAGCGUUAAUCGGAAUUACUGGGCGUAAAGCGCAUGCAGGUGGUUCAUUAAGUCAGAUGUGAAAGCCCGGGGCUCAACCUCGGAACUGCAUUUGAAACUGGUGAACUAGAGUACUGUAGAGGGGGGUAGAAUUUCAGGUGUAGCGGUGAAAUGCGUAGAGAUCUGAAGGAAUACCAGUGGCGAAGGCGGCCCCCUGGACAGAUACUGACACUCA